UUGACCUCGGAUCAGGUAGGGAUACCCGCUGAACUUAAGCAUAUCAAUAAGCGGAGGAAAAGAAACCAACAGGGAUUGCCCUAGUAACGGCGAGUGAAGCGGCAUCAGCUCAAAUUUGAAAUCUGGCUCUUUCAGAGUCCGAGUUGUAAUUUGCAGAGGGCGCUUUGGUGUCGGCAGCGGUCCAAGUUCCUUGGAACAGGACGUCACAGAGGGUGAGAAUCCCGUACGUGGUCGCUGACCUACACCGUGUAAAGCCCCUUCGACGAGUCGAGUUGUUUGGGAAUGCAGCUCUAAAUGGGAGGUAAAUUUCUUCUAAAGCUAAAUACUGGCCAGAGACCGAUAGCGCACAAGUAGAGUGAUCGAAAGAUGAAAAGCACUUUGGAAAGAGGGUCAAACAGCACGUGAAAUUGUUGAAAGGGAAGCGCUUGCAGCCAGACUUGCUUGUAGUUGCUCAUCCGGGCUUUUGCCCGGUGCACUCUUCUGCGAGCAGGCCAGCAUCAGUUUGGACGGUUGGAUAAAGGCCUCUGUCACGUACCUUCUCUCGGGAAGGCCUUAUAGGGGAGGCGUCAUGCAACCAGUCUGGACUGAGGUCCGCGCAUCUGCUAGGAUGCUGGCGUAAUGGCUGUAAGCGGCCCGUCUUGAAACACGGACCAAGGAGUCUAACAUCUAUGCGAGUGUUUGGGUGUCAAGCCCGAGCGCGUAAUGAAAGUGAACGGAGGUGGGAUCCCGCAAGGGUGCACCAUCGACCGAUCCUGAUGUCUUCGGAUGGA
RNAcentral lists this ribosomal RNA (770 nucleotides) under Pyrenochaetopsis sp. RNAcentral describes it as "partial large subunit ribosomal RNA". It matches the Rfam family "Eukaryotic large subunit ribosomal RNA", at positions 1 to 788 of the family's 3401-position model. Lineage: Eukaryota; Fungi; Ascomycota; Dothideomycetes; Pleosporales; Pyrenochaetopsidaceae. The record is from RNAcentral.